GUGUAACAUUGAUUCUUAAAUGAUGGUCUUUACUGAAAAAGUUUCAAAGAGUUUACACCAGCUGUUCAAGGUUCCAUGGCUGUUAAUAGGAAAGAAACCAUUCAAAUUGAGGUCUAUUGAGUUACAAAGCCCAGCGUUUAACCACUGUGCUGUACUGCCUUCCCAGGAAUAGAGCAUUAGUGGUGAGAAAGAGUUGGGCCCUUGUGUUGCUAGACUUUCAUGUACGAUCACCUCCAGAGAGCAAGAGGCAGGAGCUUGCUGCACUCCCAGAACCUAAGAGCCACUCAAUGCAUAGGAGAUGUGCAAACAAAAUUUAUAGAUAACUGAUAGAUGCAUGAGUGGGUGGAUGGGUAGGUGGAUGGAUGGGUGGAUGGAUGGAUAGGUGCAUGAGUGGAUAGGUGGAUUGGUGGAUAGGUGGGUAGAUGGAUGAGUGGAUGGAUAGGUGGGUAGAUGGAUGGGUGGAUGGGUUGGUGGAUGGAUGUGCAGUUGGAUGGGUAAGCAAAUAGUAAGCAAAUAGAUGAAUGAACAUAUAGGGAAACAGGGUCCCCGAGAGGCUAGUGACUCAUCUAAGAUCACACAGAAAGUCAGCAGUGGAGGAACCAGACAUCCUAUCUCUGCUCACUCCCUUAGGACAUCAAACAUCUGAGAAUGAAAUUGGGUGUUUUCCUUACAGUUGAGGGAGGCAGUGAGGAUGAUGGUGAUGAUAACUGCUCAAAAUGUGGGCCAGAUGCUUUAGUUCACCAAUUCAUGGUGUCUUCUCUAUAGCUUUAGGAAACACGUGCUGAGGUAUCCCCUCGUGCCACAAGGGUAUUAUCCACUUGUGUCAGUCGUGCCACAUGGUAAGUGUUAUUUUUGUCCCUAUCCUCAGAAGAGGAAAACAAAGCUCAGAGAGGUUAAGUAACCUGCCCUUGUCUUCCCACAAGGAAGGAGUGAGGACAGGUGCUAACCCUUUGUCUCUGGUGGACAGAUUUUAACUGCCUAAGAGCAUCAUAUAAAGUGGGCAGGAUUG
Heterocephalus glaber (naked mole-rat) is the source of this 1009-nucleotide long non-coding RNA. The record is from Ensembl. Lineage: Eukaryota; Metazoa; Chordata; Mammalia; Rodentia; Bathyergidae.